UACACACCGCCCGUCACACCAUGGGAGUUGAUUGCACCAGAAGUAGGUAGCCUAACCGCAAGGGGGGCGCUUACCACGGUGUGGUCAAUGACUGGGGUG
This 99-nucleotide ribosomal RNA is filed under the name uncultured bacterium. RNAcentral's name for it is "partial 16S ribosomal RNA". It matches the Rfam family "Bacterial small subunit ribosomal RNA", at positions 1384 to 1482 of the family's 1533-position model. The record is from RNAcentral.